Pelobates cultripes (western spadefoot toad) is the source of this 712-nucleotide non-coding RNA. Lineage: Eukaryota; Metazoa; Chordata; Amphibia; Anura; Pelobatidae. The record is from the annotation of a GenBank genome assembly.
UGGGAGAGAACAUUAACCUCUAAAGCAUCAGCAAGCUGGUGUCUUUUAGGGGAUUAGAGUGUUCCUUUAAGACUUCUUUAGUUGGAAACAACUCUUAGUCUGGGAACCAUGACGUUAAUUGGGAGUUCGUGAAUGUUCACAGAUCCUGAUAUGCAGAAAAAACAGGUAUCUAAACAAAUAUGCUCUGAAACAAUUUCAUCUGAUUAAACUGAACGUGGUUUUAGCAAAUACGUGUAUCCUCUGUUUCACGAAUAGAGGUUGUUACCACACUGAAAGGAUGAGACAGGAGAUGCAUCGAAAAUCAUUAAGUUCUACUUAUACAUUCUAAAAUAACACACAAAGGGAAUACAUGACACGUAACUUUGUAUCUUCGUUAAUAUUAAAAAUAACGGUUACAGCUUUACUUUGAAGGGACACUAUAGUCACUAAAACAACUUUAACUUAAUGAAGCAAUUUUGGUGUAUAGAUCAUACCCCUGCAGUCCAACUUUGCCAUUUAGGAGUUAAAUCACAUUACUUAUGCAUCCCUGGGCACACCUCACUGCAUGUGACUUACACAGGCUUUCUAAACACUUCCUGGAAAGAGUCUUCUAAUGUUUACACUUCCUUUAUUCCAAAAUCUGUUUACUUUAUAAUGUCUUAUCAAAUGCUCUGUUAAUAGAUGUCUAGACCCUGCAGGAGCCUCCUGUAUGUAAUUAAAACUUUUUACAGAG